RNAcentral lists this ribosomal RNA (456 nucleotides) under uncultured Bacillota bacterium. RNAcentral describes it as "bacterial SSU rRNA". It matches the Rfam family "Bacterial small subunit ribosomal RNA", at positions 399 to 872 of the family's 1533-position model. Lineage: Bacteria; Bacillati; Bacillota. The record is from RNAcentral.
GCGUGAGCGAAGAAGGCUUUCGGGUCGUAAAGCUCUGUCCUAUGGGAAGAAGAAGUGACGGUACCAUAGGAGGAAGCCCCGGCUAACUACGUGCCAGCAGCCGCGGUAAUACGUAGGGGGCGAGCGUUAUCCGGAAUUACUGGGCGUAAAGGGUGAGUAGGCGGCCAAAUAAGCCAGGGGUGAAAGGCUAGGGCUUAACCCUAGUAAGCCUUUGGAACUGUAUGGCUUGAGUGCAGGAGAGGAGAGUGGAAUUCCUAGUGUAGCGGUGAAAUGCGUAGAUAUUAGGAGGAACACCAGUGGCGAAGGCGACUCUCUGGACUGCAACUGACGCUGAGGCACGAAAGCGUGGGGAGCAAACAGGAUUAGAUACCCUGGUAGUCCACGCCGUAAACGAUGAGUGCUAGGUGUCGGGGGUUCACACCCUCGGUGCCGGAGUUAACGCAUUAAGCACUCCGC